Molecule: long non-coding RNA, 219 nt
Filed under: Lathyrus oleraceus (garden pea)
Lineage: Eukaryota; Viridiplantae; Streptophyta; Magnoliopsida; Fabales; Fabaceae
Description: Pisum sativum (pea) long non-coding RNA (PSAT_LNC003072)
Source: RNAcentral
GUGAAAAAUGAGUGGGUGUGAGAUCGGAGGUGCUGGAUAGGUAUUUUAAUUAGAGAGUAGGAAUUAUUUGUGUAUUUGAUCAUGGCUCUUAUAGAGAUCACUUUUCCCAAUAAAAGAAUUCUUGGUCGUGAAAGUAUAACCAUUCAGAUUAGUUUUGUAUUCCUUAUAAGCCUAUUGUAUUUUCUAACAAUCUAACAUGAUAAAAUUAAAGUCAUUUAA